AUUGAACGCUGGCGGUAUGCUUUACACAUGCAAGUCGAACGGUAACAGGUCUUCGGAUGCUGACGAGUGGCGAACGGGUGAGUAAUGUAUCGGAACGUGCCUAGUAAUGGGGGAUAACCACUCGAAAGAGUGACUAAUACCGCAUAAUAUCUCAGGAUGAAAGCGGGGGAUCGCAAGACCUCGCGUUAUUAGAGCGGCCGAUAUCAGAUUAGGUAGUUGGUGGGAUAAAAGCCUACCAAGCCAACGAUCUGUAGCUGGUCUGAGAGGACGACCAGCCACACUGGGACUGAGACACGGCCCAGACUCCUACGGGAGGCAGCAGUGGGGAAUUUUGGACAAUGGGCGAAAGCCUGAUCCAGCAAUACCGCGUGCAGGACGAAGGCCUUCGGGUUGCAAACUGCUUUUGUACGGAACGAAACGGUUCAGAUUAAUACUCUGAACUAAUGACGGUACCGUAAGAAUAAGCACCGGCUAACUACGUGCCAGCAGCCGCGGUAAUACG
This 502-nucleotide ribosomal RNA is filed under the name uncultured bacterium. RNAcentral describes it as "bacterial SSU rRNA". It matches the Rfam family "Bacterial small subunit ribosomal RNA", at positions 30 to 527 of the family's 1533-position model. The record is from RNAcentral.